This 630-nucleotide long non-coding RNA is filed under the name Rattus norvegicus (Norway rat). Its description in RNAcentral is "long non-coding RNA NONRATT002837". The record is from RNAcentral. Lineage: Eukaryota; Metazoa; Chordata; Mammalia; Rodentia; Muridae.
CUUGCUGCAGAGAGGGGCCACAGGGACCACUGCAGAGGCCACAUGGACCACAGCAGGCUUGCCCACUCUGUCAGGAGAUCAGCAGCUUGAUGUCUCCAUCCUGUACCAUGAUGUGAUAGCAGGAAGACGUUUCUUACAUCUCCACAAGAGCUUAAUGCUAAGUAUGGAUUGGAUAAGCAAAUUAUUUCAUGAGUCAUUUUUUCUUUUUAAAUGCUUUUUUGGAAUAUAAGUAAUAGAUACUUUUUUAAAAAUGAAACUAAAGAUAAAAGGAACAAAAAAAAAAAAAGCAAACAACCCACCUAUUGUUCCACCAUCUGAUUGUAACCACUGUUAACCAGUGUGGCUCUUCAGCGUCCUCACUACGCUGCUUUUGUUCCUUUUCCAUGAAAUAUCCUGGUCUCACGCACACUCUUCCACCUUUGUCCCCUUUUACACUGUAUCACAGACGUGUUUCUCUGUUGCUAAGUAAGUAACUACUACUCUUUUUAACACCUGUGUAGUCAUUCCUUGGAUAGUUAAGCUGUUUCCAGUUUUCUACUCUUGUAGUCAGGACUCAAUAAAAACUGUUUCUGACGUCUUUGUAAACUGUUUAGAAUAUUUGCAUAGAAUAAAUUUCUAAUAUUAGCCUUU